Molecule: unclassified non-coding RNA, 688 nt
Filed under: Hevea brasiliensis (rubber tree)
Lineage: Eukaryota; Viridiplantae; Streptophyta; Magnoliopsida; Malpighiales; Euphorbiaceae
Source: RNAcentral
GAGAGGCAUAAAGGAACCUCUUUAUUAUGUUACAACCAUUUAUAAUGAUCAAAACAAUAUGGAAAAUUUCUAAAAAUCAUCAACUGCAUUCUCCAAUGGUAGUUGAUUUAGAAUAGUUUCUGAAGAUAGUUCACCACAUUCUUGUCCAAUUGGAAUGCCUUGGUAAGAACAUCUGGGUUAAUUGGUGGAUUAGAUCCAAACAGUGCAUUUGCAAUUGUGAUAACUCCUGGAUUUUGGCUGCUCAAUCCAGCAAUAGCAACUGCAUUAGUUUCACCAAUGUUGAACUGAAAGUGAAUGAGACCAAUUGGAAACACAAAAACAUCUCCUGCAUUUAGAACUUUGGUAAUGAGGCGGUUGGGGUUUGACGUGACAAAACCCACAUAGAGGGUGCCUUUCAAAACUACUAGGAUUUCUGUGGCACGAGGAUGAGUGUGGGGUGGGUUUAGGCCUCCAUAUGGUGCAAAGUCAAUACGGGCUAAUGAUAUACCAAGAGUGUUGAGUCCUGGUAUUUUGUCAACAUUUACAAGAGUUACAUUUGAUCCAACUUGAUUUCCCGUGUUUCUAGGAAUGUUGAGUCCCGAAAAAGAGAAAUCAUUGGCUACAGUAAGGUUUGGAUUCUUGCAAAAUUUUCCAUUCACAAACACAGCAUUGAAGGGGUUAUUUAUUGCCACACAGAAGUCCUGGAGAG